UACGGGGGAGCAAGCGUUGUUCGGAUUUACUGGGCGUAAAGGGCGCGGUAGGCGGUCGUGACAAGUCACUUGUGAAUCUCCGGGCUUAAUUCGGAACGGUCAAGUGAUACUGUCGGACUAGAGUACAGAAGGGGCAACUGGAAUUCUCGGUGUAGCGGUGAAAUUCGUAGAUAUUCGCAAGAACACCAGUGGCGAAGGCGGCUCACUGGCCCGGUAUGACGCUGAGGCACGGAAAGCGUGGGGAGCAAACAGGG
Molecule: ribosomal RNA, 254 nt
Filed under: uncultured bacterium
Lineage: Bacteria
Description: partial 16S ribosomal RNA
Rfam family: Bacterial small subunit ribosomal RNA
Source: RNAcentral